Molecule: ribosomal RNA, 253 nt
Filed under: uncultured bacterium
Lineage: Bacteria
Description: partial 16S ribosomal RNA
Rfam family: Bacterial small subunit ribosomal RNA
Source: RNAcentral
UACGAAGGGGGCUAGCGUUGCUCGGAAUCACUGGGUGUAAAGGGUGCGUAGGCUGUCGGUUAAGGCUGAUGUGAAAUCCCUCGGCUCAACUGGGGAACUGCAUUGGAAACUAGCUGACUGGAGUACCGGAGAGGGAAGCGGAAUUCCUGGUGUAGCGGUGAAAUGCGUAGAUACCAGGAGGAACACCGGUGGCGAAGGCGGCUUCCUGGCCGAGUACUGACGCUGAGGCACGAAAGCGUGGGGAGCGAACGGG